UUGGUUUAGAAUUUGGUUUAGGAUUUAGGAUUUAUUUAAGAUUUAAUUUAGAAUUUAAGAUUGAUUUAUGAUUUAUUUAAAGCUAAGAAUAUGUCUAAGAUUUAUUUAAGGCUUAAGAUUUGUAUAGGAUUUAUUCAGGACUUAGGAUUUAGGAUAUGUUUAGGAUUUGAUUUAAGGUUUUAGAUUUUUUUAGAGUUUGAUUUAGGAUUUAGAAUUUUUUUAAGGCUUAAAAUUUAGGAUUUGUGUAAGGUUUGAUUUAGGAUUUAAGUUUUGUCAAGGAUUUAGUUUAGAAUUUAGGAUUUAUUUAGGACUUAAGAUUUAAGAUUUAUUUAGGACUUAGUAUUUAGGAUUUAUCUAGGAUUUUUUUAUAAUUUAGGAUUUAUUUAGAUCUUAGAACUUAAGAUUUAUCUAUGAUUUGAUUUAAGAUAUAGGAUUUAUUUAAGACUUAGGAUUUAUCUAAGGUUUGGUUUAGGACUUAAGAUUUAAGGAUUAAUUAAGUUUUGACAUAAAAUU
This 513-nucleotide long non-coding RNA is filed under the name Physcomitrium patens. RNAcentral's name for it is "long non-coding RNA (PPAT_LNC009144)". Lineage: Eukaryota; Viridiplantae; Streptophyta; Bryopsida; Funariales; Funariaceae. The record is from RNAcentral.